CAGGUACUCCCUCCGUUCGGAAUUACUUGUCGCAGAAAUGGAUGUAUCUAGACGUAUUUUAGUUCUAGAUACAUCUAUUUCUGAGAUAAGUAAUUUCGAACGGAGGGAGUAUCAU
Molecule: non-coding RNA, 115 nt
Organism: Triticum aestivum (bread wheat)
Lineage: Eukaryota; Viridiplantae; Streptophyta; Magnoliopsida; Poales; Poaceae
Source: Rfam